UACUCCUACGGGAGGCAGCAGUGAGGAAUAUUGGUCAAUGGGCGAGAGCCUGAACCAGCCAAGUCGCGUGAAGGAUGACUGUCUUAUGGAUUGUAAACUUCUUUUAUACGGGAAUAACAAGAGUCACGUGUGACUCCCUGCAUGUACCGUAUGAAUAAGCAUCGGCUAACUCCGUGCCAGCAGCCGCGGUAAUACGGAGGAUGCGAGCGUUAUCCGGAUUUAUUGGGUUUAAAGGGUGCGUAGGCGGCCUGUUAAGUCAGCGGUGAAAUCUAGGAGCUUAACUCCUAAAUUGCCAUUGAUACUGGCGGGCUUGAGUGUAGAUGAGGUAGGCGGAAUGCGUGGUGUAGCGGUGGAAUGCAUAGAUAUCACGCAGAACUCCGAUUGCGAAGGCAGCUUACUAAGGUACAACUGACGCUGAAGCACGAAAGCGUGGGUAUCAAACAGGAUUAGAUACCCUGGUAGUCCACGCAGUAAACGAUGAUAACUGGGCGUAUGCGAUAUACAGUAUGCUCCUAAGCGAAAGCGUUAAGUUAUCCACCUGGGGAGUACGCCGGCAACGGUGAAACUCAAAGGAAUUGACGGA
Molecule: ribosomal RNA, 583 nt
Filed under: uncultured bacterium
Lineage: Bacteria
Description: bacterial SSU rRNA
Rfam family: Bacterial small subunit ribosomal RNA
Source: RNAcentral